CUCAAGUGAUCCUCCCGCCUUGGCCUCCCAGAGUGCUGAGAUUACAGAGAGAGAAUGCUAAUGAGCUGUGAAAUGACCAAAGAUCUGGCAGCAGAAGGGAAGAGAAAAAAUAACGGAAAAGACCACGUAUCAGUGUUGUCAGUUGUCAGGAAGGUGGAAGAAGAGAAGUAACUUCAGAAAACACAUGGGAGCUGUUUGGGAUAAUGAAAAUAUUCUGUAUGAUGAUUUUGAUGAUGGUUACCUUGUAAAAUAGACUUAUAAAAUUAAUGCAAUUAUAUUCUUUAAAUUGGUGAAUUUCAUUGUGUGAAAAUUAUAUCCCAAUAAAGCUAACCAAAAAAAAAAAAAAAAAGGGUCAAAGACUUGAACAGGUACUUCAUAAAAGAGAACAUCCAAAUGACCAAUAAACAUAUGAAAAGGCGUAAAUUAAAAGUAGAAUGAGAUACAAUUCUACACCUAUCAUUAUGUCUAAAAUCAAAAAGAUGGAAAAUACCAAAUAUUGCUGAGGACACUGGCACAACUGGAACUCUCCUGUGCUGCUCACAGGGAUGUAAAUUCGUAUUACCACUUUGGAAAAUUGUUUGGCAAUGUCUAGGAAAGCUGAAUAUGUGCAUAACCUAUGACUGGGUAAUUCUAGUUCUGUUUGUAGUCAGAAUUUGGGAACCAAUAGGAAGGAUAAAUAAAUGGUGGUAAAUCUGUGCAAUUCAAUACUACAUAGCAAUGAGAAUGAAUGAACUACUGCUACAUAUGACAUGAAAGGAGCAUAUAAACAUGAUACUGAGUGAAAGAAACCAUACACAAAAGCGUACAUUUAUUUAAAGUUAGAAAGCAGGGCCUGGCGCGGUGGCUGAUGCCUGUAAUCCCAGCACU
Non-coding RNA from Macaca mulatta (Rhesus monkey), 867 nucleotides. The record is from RefSeq and is a predicted model, not a curated record. NCBI's taxonomy places the organism in Eukaryota, Metazoa, Chordata, Mammalia, Primates, Cercopithecidae.